GUAGUCGUGGCCUAGUGGUUAAGGCAAUGGACGUGAAAUCCAUUAGGGUCUCCCUGUGCAGGUUUGCAACCUACUGGCCAUG
This 82-nucleotide transfer RNA is filed under the name Bos taurus (domestic cattle). It matches the Rfam family "tRNA". Rfam says of the family: Transfer RNA (tRNA) molecules are approximately 80 nucleotides in length. Their secondary structure includes four short double-helical elements and three loops (D, anti-codon, and T loops). Further hydrogen bonds mediate the characteristic L-shaped molecular structure. tRNAs have two regions of fundamental functional importance: the anti-codon, which is responsible for specific mRNA codon recognition, and the 3' end, to which the tRNAs corresponding amino acid is attached (by aminoacyl-tRNA synthetases). tRNAs cope with the degeneracy of the genetic code in two manners: having more than one tRNA (with a specific anti-codon) for a particular amino acid; and 'wobble' base-pairing, i.e. permitting non-standard base-pairing at the 3rd anti-codon position. RNAcentral also lists the same sequence under 2 other names. The record is from Rfam by way of RNAcentral. Lineage: Eukaryota; Metazoa; Chordata; Mammalia; Artiodactyla; Bovidae.